Molecule: ribosomal RNA, 510 nt
Filed under: uncultured bacterium
Lineage: Bacteria
Description: bacterial SSU rRNA
Rfam family: Bacterial small subunit ribosomal RNA
Source: RNAcentral
GUUGAUCCUGGCUCAGGAUGAACGCUAGCGGCAGGCUUAACACAUGCAAGUCGAGGGGCAUCGGGAGUAGCAAUACUGCCGGCGACCGGCGCAAGGGUGCGUAACGCGUGAGCAACAUGCCCGUAUCAGGGGGAUAAUCCAUGGAAACGUGGUCUAAUACCCCAUAGUAAUUAUGUAAGGCAUCUUAUAUAAUUUAAAGCUUUGGUGGAUACGGAUUGGCUCGCGUGACAUUAGCUGGAUGGUAAGGUAACGGCUUACCAUGGCUACGAUGUCUAGGGGUUCUGAGAGGAAGGUCCCCCACACUGGAACUGAGACACGGUCCAGACUCCUACGGGAGGCAGCAGUGAGGAAUAUUGGACAAUGGAUGGAAAUCUGAUCCAGCCAUGCCGCGUGCAGGAAGACGGCCCUAUGGGUUGUAAACUGCUUUUGUAUGGGAGCAAUAAGGGCUACGUGUAGUCCGAUGAGAGUACCAUACGAAUAAGCACCGGCUAACUCCGUGCCAGCCGCCGC